Molecule: ribosomal RNA, 232 nt
Filed under: uncultured bacterium
Lineage: Bacteria
Description: partial 16S ribosomal RNA
Rfam family: Bacterial small subunit ribosomal RNA
Source: RNAcentral
ACGGGUGAGUAACACGUAUCCAACCUGCCGUCUACUCUUGGACAGCCUUCUGAAAGGAAGAUUAAUACAAGAUGGCAUCAUGAGUUCACAUGUUCACAUGAUUAAAGGUAUUCCGGUAGGCGAUGGGGAUGCGUUCCAUUAGAUAGUAGGCGGGGUAACGGCCCACCUAGUCUUCGAUGGAUAGGGGUUCUGAGAGGAAGGUCCCCCACAUUGGAACUGAGACACGGUCCAA